CUGGGUCAAAUGCAGUAACGAACGUGAACCGGACCCAUGUAAAAGGAAAGAUACUUCCCUGGCGAAAGCCUGAAACUGCCCGCUGAUGAUCCCGCGCGGACGCUGCUUGCAUGGCGGGGGUAUUGUGCUAACCCCGUUUCAUGCGCUGGAUCGAAGCAGUUUAGACGCACACCAACACCAUAACUGUACGGAGGGCGAAUACUUUUCUAUGACAAG
The submitters of this non-coding RNA (216 nucleotides) gave its source as unclassified sequences. The record is from Rfam.